Myzus persicae (green peach aphid) is the source of this 1842-nucleotide long non-coding RNA. RefSeq lists it as uncharacterized. The record is from RefSeq and is a predicted model, not a curated record. Lineage: Eukaryota; Metazoa; Arthropoda; Insecta; Hemiptera; Aphididae. The transcript is spliced from 3 exons.
AAAGGUGCACCAUCGUUGGGUCACCCGUCCGUAGAAACCUGUAAGGGUAGGCGUAGUUCCACGGGGAUUUUUGAAUCUUCAGGUGGUUGGUGAGCAAAGCGAGUAGAGAGUCUCCUAGCAUUUUGUAAAAACUUAUUAUUAGUUUUAUUAACGUGUACUCACCUUGUUUUUUUAAUUUCAAACGACUUUUAUAACUAUUUGAGGUAACAAUUUGAAAUUACUUUUUGGGCAGGGGAGAUUGUUGAGAGAAGGCAUAUAAUAUAUACCAAUUAGAUUUUUCUAGGCCCCUGUUCAUCUUAAUCUUGGUUACCCUAAAAGUCUUGGGAAAAUACGUCAAAUUCACAAGAUCUCUUGUUUUCGAUUAGGCAUUUUGAACCACACAACUAUUAUUUCGGUCCGAGCGGAUUACCGUGGCUUAGCGAUGUGGAGCAGAUGAUCAUUUGGCCUUAGACGCCCAUAAAAUACAUAGAUAUGAACACAAAUGUCUUGGCAGCAAUCGCGCUUUUUGUUUGAAUACAUAGCUAUAUGGCGCGUCGGUCACGGCCGAGAUAAGACUAAUCUCUCACCCAGCCCGCCAUCCAUCGCGACCCGCAUAAAACAAACAGGCGUGAGCUUCAGAUAAACAAUAAGAGCGCAUCAAAACAGUAUUAUAUUCAUCAUAUUAUUAUCAUUAUUACAGUAUAAGAGUUACGCGUUUCAUGGACCACGGUCGACUUGUUCGAUAAUCACGAGGCGGCCCUCUGCUGUAGUUUGUUAAAGGACAGGCACCGUGCGUCAAUCUUUUUCAAAUACCCUGCCAAAUUCGACAUUUGUCUACGAAUACCGAUUGCCUUUAAUAUAGGCGUUGUGGCGACGAAUUAAAUACUAUUCACAUCUCAUCGAUACGUGGACGAUCACACCCCGGAAUAUCACAGAUCGUAAUAUAUAAUAAUGUAAUAAUGAUUGUUUAAUAACUUCGGCAUCAUCUGCAAGUUCGACGAAAAUUCGCAAAACUCGUACCCGUCUAUAAACUCGACGAUUGCGGCUCGAAAUGCACCGAGGCCUCUUGCUGCUGCACUUCCGCGUCCGCCGAGUUCCGGACCCAGGUUCCGGCGCCGGAGGUCCGUCGGCGCCCAAGCCAGAGGCAUUCUAUGUCCACAGGAAAUCAGUUGGAGACUUUUCGAUCCAGCCGACAGUUCUCACGCACAGGAAACCCAAGAAGGAUGGGGAAACAAACUGGUGACGACGACAACGAUGACGUCCUGCAACGAACGACGUAGACCAGCUAAUAAACGUCGACGUAUAUCGUGAUGAUAAUAAUAAUUAUAGACAAAACGUGCACCGAAUACGUCAUCAUAUAUUGUAUUAAAAUUAUUUGGGUACCAGUUUCGUCUCAUUUCAAUCGAGCAAACCAAGUGACAGAACGUAACAACAAAACCAAUUUACAUGGAUAUUUUAUUUGUACAAGAAUAAUUGUGAAAAUUAUCUAUAAUAAUGCGUAAUAUCAAGAUCCACUUUUAUACUCAGUUGGCAGACCCUCAUCACAAUGACGCAUAUUAUAGUUCUCGAAUUCUAACAAUAUACUGAAUUAAGACACAAAAUAUACCAACUACUUACUGGAAACUCAAUAAGAAAACCUCGCACUGAUAAAAACAGUUUGGCUUGUUGACUACAAUAUACGCUAAACAAAUAAAUAAAUGAAAUAUAAUAACUUCAUUAGCAAAUUAUAUUUUUUCAAAAAUAAAUGUAAAUAUAUAGUCGAAUUGGCUAAUAAUGUUGUAGUUGAUGCCAAAAAUAUGUAUCAAAUAAUAUUAUUUUAAAGUAUUAAAAAAAAAAUCAGAAGAAAUUGAAUUUUAAUUUUUG